RNAcentral lists this non-coding RNA (125 nucleotides) under Ornatilinea apprima. RNAcentral's name for it is "SAM-I sequence". It matches the Rfam family "SAM riboswitch aptamer (S box leader)". From Rfam's summary of the family: The SAM riboswitch is found upstream of a number of genes which code for proteins involved in methionine or cysteine biosynthesis in Gram-positive bacteria. The record is from Rfam by way of RNAcentral. Lineage: Bacteria; Bacillati; Chloroflexota; Anaerolineae; Anaerolineales; Anaerolineaceae.
CUUCUAUCCAGAGAGGUGGAGGGAACGGCCCUUUGAAACCUCGGCAACCUGGGACGUGUGGUCUUACAGCCAAUGUUACGCUCUAAGGUGCCAAUUCCGGCAGGAUAAAAUCUGGGAGAUAGGAG